ACAGGAUAGUUACAGGGAGCGCAGCAGGAUAUGCGCUGAACAGUUGGCAACACUGAACUCCAUAAGCGAAAAAAAAAUUAUGAAAAAUGACCUAACCUACCGCUACGAAAAUAUUAUCUUUUUCGCUUGAUUGAUGGAUGGACCGAAAGAUUUAUAUUAAAAUUAUCAACAAACAAGUUCUGGUAUUAAAGCAAUGUGGCCUAUACUUUACACAUUAGUGCGGGGAUCUUACAGAUAUGUACCCUAUAUAACUUUACCAUUCGCUGGAAUUAUAGGAUUCAUAGGAUAUAAUUUAGAAAAUAUUUUAUCAGACAAAUAUACACCCUAUAACAAGUCUAUAGAAGAGCAGCGGAAAGAACGACUGCUGGCUGAUGAAAAAUUACAAAAUGCAGAUAAUAUAGAUAAACCUAAAUAUAGCAAUAACGUAUUACAUCAAAAUUUAUCCCCAUCGUUAUCAUAAUUGCGAAAUAUAGAAUAAAAUAUAGAAAUUGUAGUUAAUAUAAUUAUUUAUCUAGUUAAUUAGUCAAUUUAUAAACUCAUAUAUUUCUAAAUUUAAUUUAAAUCUUUUAAAUUAAAAUAGAUAUAUAUUUUAUGUUCAUGAAGAGUUUGUCUUAAGCAUCAAACUUAAUGUGAUAUUAAUAUCAAUAAUAUAUGUAUACUGGAUGG
This 666-nucleotide long non-coding RNA is filed under the name Sitophilus oryzae (rice weevil). RNAcentral describes it as "uncharacterized LOC115880503, transcript variant X4". The record is from RNAcentral. Lineage: Eukaryota; Metazoa; Arthropoda; Insecta; Coleoptera; Curculionidae.